GAUGAACGCUGGCGGCGUGCCUAAUACAUGCAAGUCGAGCGAACAGACGAGGAGCUUGCUCCUCUGACGUUAGCGGCGGACGGGUGAGUAACACGUGGAUAACCUACCUAUAAGACUGGGAUAACUUCGGGAAACCGGAGCUAAUACCGGAUAAUAUAUUGAACCGCAUGGUUCAAUAGUGUAAGACGGUUUUGCUGUCACUUAUAGAUGGACCCGCGCCGCAUUAGCUAGUUGGUAAGGUAACGGCUUACCAAGGCAGCGAUGCGUAGCCGACCUGAGAGGAGGAUCGGCCGCACUGGUGCUGAGGCGCGGUCCAGAAGCCUACGGGAGGCAGCAGUAGGGAAGCAUCCUCAAUGGGCGGAGGCCGGACGGUGCAACGCCGCGUGAGGGAUGAAGGUCUUCGGAGCGUAAAACUCUGUUAUUAGGAGAGAAGAAGGGUGGAAGUGACUGUGCACGUCUUGACGGUACCUGGACAGAAAGCCACGGCUAACUACGUG
This 497-nucleotide ribosomal RNA is filed under the name uncultured bacterium. RNAcentral describes it as "partial 16S ribosomal RNA". It matches the Rfam family "Bacterial small subunit ribosomal RNA", at positions 28 to 507 of the family's 1533-position model. The record is from RNAcentral.